This 66-nucleotide transfer RNA is filed under the name Synechococcus sp. MI0608C. RNAcentral describes it as "tRNA-Ile". Lineage: Bacteria; Bacillati; Cyanobacteriota; Cyanophyceae; Synechococcales; Synechococcaceae. The record is from RNAcentral.
GGGCCAUUAGCUCAGUGGUUAGAGCGCACCCCUGGAUAAGGGUGGAGGUCCCUGGGUUCAAGUCCA